GGUAAGAUAGGUCAAGUUCAGGUCAACGGGCUCAUGCCCCGGAGGUACACCAAGUGUUCUUACUG
RNAcentral lists this transfer RNA (65 nucleotides) under Magallana angulata. RNAcentral's name for it is "tRNA-Met". The record is from RNAcentral. Lineage: Eukaryota; Metazoa; Mollusca; Bivalvia; Ostreida; Ostreidae.